Long non-coding RNA from Tyto alba (common barn owl), 923 nucleotides. RefSeq lists it as uncharacterized. The transcript is spliced from 2 exons. The record is from RefSeq and is a predicted model, not a curated record. Lineage: Eukaryota; Metazoa; Chordata; Aves; Strigiformes; Tytonidae.
UGUGCCCAGCGCUGAAUAAACAUACCUACUUUACAAUCUAUCAGAUUGUGGAGUCUGUUUUCCGCACGUCAGUUUUGGCGAGCCAGGCAGGAGACUCUCUGCUCGACUGCGGGAUCGACUGCAGGGCGGACUCUCCCAGGCGCGCCCCGAGCACUUUCCUCAGAGGAGCCUCCGCUACCAGCCGCUCACCGUGGGAGCAGACAAGGACUUCCUGAAGCCGCGGACUAAACGGUGUGUUCAAGGAUAGGAGCCUGUAAGUCGUACGCGUGGCUGGGGCAGCUGGUAAAUCGCGCAGAGACGUCUGGCGUGCAGCUAAGCCAGUCUCUUACAGAGAAAACCUUGGAGCCACAGUGGGAAGGGCCAUUCCAGGUGCUGCUCACGACGUUUACAGCCAUCAAGAUUAGGGAAUACUCGGCCUGGAUACAUCACACCCGAGUAAAGAAAGCCCAUAAAUCCCCAUGGAAAGUUACCCAAGUUCGGCCAGGAAGAUUACGCUUCUCACGAUAAGUCUGAUAAUCAUUUUUCCUCUAAUGCAUAGUCGAAGGUUCAGUGAAUGGCCAUGGUCCCAGGCUUACAUUGGGCAUACUAAUAAGACUAGAAAUGUGAGCAACCACACGUUGGCUACUAUAGUUAUGCAGGGGACAAAUGUGCCCACAAAAGAAGAAUGGGAUGCCUAUCCAGGAGAACCACAAUUGCAGGGAACAUUGGGACAAGAAAUUAAAAUUCAGAUGCAGAGCAUUUAAUAGCUCUACUUACUGGGCAGGAAAACAAAGGCUGUUUGGGACAAAGCCACCAAUUUUGAAAGGAGAUUCCAAUCUUGGUGGACUAUGGUGAAUUUUACUUAUGACCCCACUACUAACAUAGCUACUGCCUUUGUGCUCACUAUACAUAAUGCCACAGUUUAUGUAAUCCACCCCAUCAUU